RNAcentral lists this long non-coding RNA (1233 nucleotides) under Homo sapiens (human). RNAcentral's name for it is "HOX transcript antisense RNA variant G1.33". Lineage: Eukaryota; Metazoa; Chordata; Mammalia; Primates; Hominidae. The record is from RNAcentral.
GGGCCGAGUAGGGAUAGGAGAUCUGACGAGAGGGGGCCUGGGGCAGGAAGGAGGAGACCGUGGAGAACUCGGGCAUGUAGUAAGUGCAACUGGGCAGAUAGAGGUUGGAGGCGCAGCUCCCUCGCUCGCCGAAAUCUGCGCCCCUCUCCUUGCGCGACGGAGAGCAGAAGUUGCCCAGGUUGACCGAGUUAAACAUCGUUCUCCUCUCCUGCCGGCUCCGGAUGGAGGUUUUGGACCCGGUCUAGCGAGGGGGGAAAAUUUGGGAAGGCGAGAUGACGCGUUAUCCGUCUUAGUCUCUCUCUCUCUGAGCACGUGAUCCAAAGUAGAUAUUGUCAUAUAUCAGUUCGGAGCACUUCGCAGACGUAGGAGGGGUUCUCUCUUAGAGACACCGCCUGUUCACAAGAGUUUGAAGAAGUCCACUCUUUUCCUGGCCAGAGCUGGGUGUCAAGACUACCUUUCUGGAGUCCUUAGAGAGACUCCCGGAAGAGUAUCUGAAGUUUCCCAAAGCCUCCAGGCCCUGCCUUCUGCCUGCACAUUCUGCCCUGAUUUCCGGAACCUGGAAGCCUAGGCAGGCAGUGGGGAACUCUGACUCGCCUGUGCUCUGGAGCUUGAUCCGAAAGCUUCCACAGUGAGGACUGCUCCGUGGGGGUAAGAGAGCACCAGGCACUGAGGCCUGGGAGUUCCACAGACCAACACCCCUGCUCCUGGCGGCUCCCACCCGGGACUUAGACCCUCAGGUCCCUAAUAUCCCGGAGGUGCUCUCAAUCAGAAAGGUCCUGCUCCGCUUCGCAGUGGAAUGGAACGGAUUUAGAAGCCUGCAGUAGGGGAGUGGGGAGUGGAGAGAGGGAGCCCAGAGUUACAGACGGCGGCGAGAGGAAGGAGGGGCGUCUUUAUUUUUUUAAGGCCCCAAAGAGUCUGAUGUUUACAAGACCAGAAAUGCCACGGCCGCGUCCUGGCAGAGAAAAGGCUGAAAUGGAGGACCGGCGCCUUCCUUAUAAGCUCGUUGGGGCCUAAGCCAGUACCGACCUGGUAGAAAAAGCAACCACGAAGCUAGAGAGAGAGCCAGAGGAGGGAAGAGAGCGCCAGACGAAGGUGAAAGCGAACCACGCAGAGAAAUGCAGGCAAGGGAGCAAGGCGGCAGUUCCCGGAACAAACGUGGCAGAGGGCAAGACGGGCACUCACAGACAGAGGUUUAUGUAUUUUUAUUUUUUAAAAUCUGAUUUGGUGUUCCAU